Molecule: ribosomal RNA, 423 nt
Filed under: uncultured Glomeromycotina
Lineage: Eukaryota; Fungi; Glomeromycota
Description: SSU rRNA
Rfam family: Eukaryotic small subunit ribosomal RNA
Source: RNAcentral
AUGGUAUGCACCGGCUCGCUGACUCCUCCUUCUUGUAGAACCGUAAUGCCAUUAAUUUGGUGUUGCGGGGAAACAGGACUGUUACUUUGAAAAAAUUAGAGUGUUUAAAGCAGGCCAACGCCUGAAUACAUUAGCAUGGAAUAAUGAAAUAGGACGUUCGAACCUAUUUUGUUGGUUUCUAGGAUUGACGUAAUGAUUAAUAGGGAUAGUUGGGGGCAUUAGUAUUCAAUUGUCAGUGGUGAAAUUCUUGGAUUUAUUGAAGACUGACUACUGCGAAAGCAUUUGCCAAGGAUGUUUUCAUUAAUCAAGAACGAAAGUUAGGGGAUCGAAGACGAUCAGAUACCGUCGUAGUCUUAACCAUAAACUAUGCCGACUAGGGAUCGGAUGAUGUUAAUUUUUUAAUGACUCAUUCGGCGCCUUACG